This 73-nucleotide transfer RNA is filed under the name Planctomycetota bacterium. Its description in RNAcentral is "Planctomycetes bacterium tRNA-Asn". It matches the Rfam family "tRNA". Rfam says of the family: Transfer RNA (tRNA) molecules are approximately 80 nucleotides in length. Their secondary structure includes four short double-helical elements and three loops (D, anti-codon, and T loops). RNAcentral also lists the same sequence under 1 other name. The record is from RNAcentral. Lineage: Bacteria; Pseudomonadati; Planctomycetota.
UGCGGUGUGGCCUAACUGGUAAGGCACCUCCCUGUUAAGGAGUUGCAUGCAGGUUCGAAUCCUGCCUCCGCAG